ACGCUCGACACCUACGGGAGGCNGCAGUGGGGAAUAUUGCACAAUGGGCGAAAGCCUGAUGCAGCAACGCCGCGUGAGCGAAGAAGGCCUUCGGUCGUAAGCUCUGUCCUCAAGGAAGAUAAUGACGGUACUUGAGGAGGAAGCCCGGCUAACUACGUGCCAGUAGCCGCGGUAAUCUGAGCGGCGUGGCAAGGC
RNAcentral lists this ribosomal RNA (195 nucleotides) under uncultured bacterium. RNAcentral describes it as "partial 16S ribosomal RNA". It matches the Rfam family "Bacterial small subunit ribosomal RNA", at positions 328 to 538 of the family's 1533-position model. The record is from RNAcentral.